AUACUAUAUCAUAUAUUUUAAGAAACAAACAAAACAAACAUGGUACCAUAAACAAUACCAUAUUAGGAGCUAAUAUGUUCAGCCAAAAAGCACUCUCUUUCAGAUCCAAAAGGUUUCUAUAUUAAACAAAUUUUGUGGCAACAGAUUUUUGAGGUUUUUAAAAUUCUUUUUAACUUUUUGACAAGUUUUUUUUUUUUUUUUUUUAAUAACUGUGGUGUCUGGGCAACUUGCGCGUACCUCGACUAAUUCCACAGGACACCUGCCACGGGAGACUUUUUGACAAGUUGUAAAGUAAACUUGUUUGACUUGUCUGAAUAACUUGAGGAAGCUAAUAGUUAUCAGAAAUCUAAGUAUAAGGUCCUAUUCAUUCACUUACGCUAAGGUCAAUUUAAAAAUCAGGGUAAUACUGCAACAAACUUGUCAUUGCUAUCACAAAUGACUACUGAACAAAAGAAAUAAGCACAAUGCAGUGCAUUGGGACAAAGGAAAGAAAGAUGUUAAUGCAGUAUGAUAGAUGCACUAGCGGACAAAUAGUGGCGUUAAUAUCAAGGCGGUUUUGAAAAACCGCCACAAAAUGACAUAUAUUACGGUGCUUUCAGGAACGCCAUUAAAAAUAUUUAUAUACUGGCGGUUGCGGGGAUUAAUCGCUGCUUUAUUAAAUUCUUUUUGCAACACUCAGCAUUAAGAAUCUCAGCAAGCAAAAUGAGUGCUUGUUACUGAAAUGGUUAUGGAGGUUUGGAGCAGAAGAUAUGGCGAUUUGGAGAAGACAUCACUGAAAAAUACAGCUUAGCUAACCAGUGGAUAACUGAGGAGGCUAGGGGUACCUUUGGGUGUAGAGUCUGGAAGACUAUUAGAAGAUUGUGAAGUCAGUUCAAUGUCAACACUUCCAUCAAAAUGGGAGACGGACUUGGAACUAAUUUUUGGAAUGAAAUAUGGAUCUGUGGGGAGAUAACCUGAGAAUAUUUUUUCCUCAUCUGUACACCCUAAGCCUGCAAAAGAAUGUCACUGUAUCACAGGUUUGGAGUCAACAAGGCUGGAACUUAAUUUUUAGAAGAGCACUGAACGACUGGAAAGUGGAUAGCAUUGCAAGUCUGGUACAGUUGUUGAGCUCUUACGCAGGGUACUCAAUGAUCCAGACAAGUUAAUCUGGAAUUUGUACAACAAAGGUACUUUUACAGUAAAAUCAUGUUACUCAUGUUACUGGAAGAUGAACAACAGACAAUCACAGGUUCUAAACUAGCCUUGGAAAUUAAUUUGAAAAGGUUAGAAGUCCCCUUAAAGUCUCUUGUUUUGCCUGGCUAGUGAUCAGAAAGCUUGCUUAACAGACGAGGUCCUAUGAAGAAGAGGUCUACAGAUCUGCUCAAGGUGUUUUUUGUGUAAUGAGGAUGCAGAAGAAAAUAACCAUCUGUUCCUGCAUUGCGAAAUAGCUGCAAAACUUUGGAACAUGUUUUUUUAUAUUCUUGAUGUGGAUUGGGUAAUGCCUAGAACUACUGGGGAGCUGAUACACAACUGGAAAGGAAUUGGGAGAAGAGGGAAAAGUGAAGAAUGGUGGCAGAGCAGCCCAGUUUGCAUCUGGUGGACUCUUUGGAAGGAAAGAAAUGAUAGAUGUUUUGAAGGCAAAUGCAGUAACACUCAAGAGAUUAAGAUGAAAUGCCUUAGUUUUUUUUGUACUUCUGGUGUAAACAUGAUUUGGUGGGGGAGGUAGUAGCUUUAGUUGACAUCAUACGAGAAUUGUAAAUCUUUUUAUUUUGUUCUGGAAGAUGAUCCACAUUUUUUGUGGCUUAUAAGAUCCCACCUCAUCCACUUUUCUGGGGUGAUUUUGCGAAUAUAAAGUUACCUUUGUAUUCACGGGUAAAGUUGUUGUCAUGUGACCAGGAGGUCACGGGUUCGAGCAUUGGAAACAACAUGUGGCAGAAAUGCAAGGUAAGGCUGCGUACAAUACAUCCUUGCGGUGGGUCCUUCCCUGGACACGGCGCAUAAAGGUAGCUUUAGUGCACCGUGCUGCCCUUUUAAAGUUACCUUUGUAUCAAAAAAAAAUCCUGAGCUUUUUCGUCACUAUAUUUAGAAUUUCCCUCCCACAAAUUGGAUCUCCCUCCACAAAAUGGAACCCAACCUGCAUCUCUCUCUCUCUCUCCACAUCAAUUGACACACUUGAGCUGCUAUAUCGAUUUGAAAAGCUUUCUCCACGACCAUUACCUGAGAGGCUUGCUAGGAAACUGCAUUUUAGACUGGUAUUUUUUCCUUGAGGAAUUAUUACUAGAAGGAAACAACUAUGGGGGCUACACGCUUUUUGUGUUUGUUCUUGUUCUGCAGCUUCUAUACUAUAGAAGAAGAGGAUAUCAUCCAGUCAGUACAAACAGGAAAGAACUUAUAUGAAUUCAUUGAUUAAAACUACACGAAGACAUGGGCAAGAGAAGCAAAAAAGUUCAACAAAUAUCUGAAAUGACUUCUGGAACUUUUAACUGUCUUCAUGUUAUGCAGGGAACAGAUAAUUAUAGCUGAGAGAAAUGACUAAUGGAAAAAGAGAAUUCUCAAAGAUGUGGUAUCGAUGUUGAGAAGGCAAGCUCAAAGCAGAUCACGUAUGGUGCUCAUUCAUAAAUGUUUCUAAGGACUGCUAUGGUUCUUUUUGUUGAAUGUUUUUUUUUUUGGAAUUUCUACUCAUUUAAUGAUGCAACAUUGAAGUUCUUAUACUUCUUUAAUAAAAUUUUAUUACAUAA
This is a long non-coding RNA of Capsicum annuum, 2717 nucleotides long. RefSeq lists it as uncharacterized. NCBI's taxonomy places the organism in Eukaryota, Viridiplantae, Streptophyta, Magnoliopsida, Solanales, Solanaceae. The transcript has 2 exons. The record is from RefSeq and is a predicted model, not a curated record.